AGUGAACGCUGGCGGUAGGCCUAACACAUGCAAGUCGAACGGCAGCACAUUAGUAGCUUUCUCUUACGGUUGGCAAUUGGUGGAGGGUUGAGUAUUACAUCGGAAUUAAUUUUUUCUUGGUGGAUAACGUAGGGAAACUUACGCUAUUACCGCUUAGGCCCAACGGGGGAAAUCAGGGGACCUUCGGACCUUGCUCGUUCGAAUGACCCGAUGUCGGAUUAGCUAGUUGGCGGGGUAAAGGCCCACCAAGGCGACGAUCCGUAGCUGGUCUGAGAGGAUGAUCAGCCACACUGGAACUGAGACACGGUCCAGACUCCUACGGGAGGCAGCAGUGGGGAAUAUUGGACAAUGGGCGCAAGCCUGAUCCAGCCAUACCGCGUGGGUGAAGAAGGCCUUCGGGUUGUAAAGCACUUUUGUUGGGAAAGAAAAGCAGCAGGUUAAUACCCCGCUGUUCUGACGGUACCCAAAGAAUAAGCACCGGCUAACUUCGUG
Molecule: ribosomal RNA, 492 nt
Filed under: uncultured bacterium
Lineage: Bacteria
Description: partial 16S ribosomal RNA
Rfam family: Bacterial small subunit ribosomal RNA
Source: RNAcentral